Molecule: ribosomal RNA, 633 nt
Filed under: Triticum aestivum (bread wheat)
Lineage: Eukaryota; Viridiplantae; Streptophyta; Magnoliopsida; Poales; Poaceae
Description: partial small subunit ribosomal RNA
Source: RNAcentral
AUGCAGAUGAGCAAGUUGCCCGUGAAUUCUUUCGACGGUGUUCCAUUUUCCAAUUCAGUAAUGGGAAGGGAGCUUUGCAUGGCAAAUAUCUGCAUUGGUGGCGUGACCUUGGUGUUGGGUACAAGCCACCUAGAGAGCCCGAGCCGGCCUCCUCGGUUGCGCAUCAACGAGCGAAUCGCUCAGGCAAAGGAGUCCCUCAUGUUGUUGGGAGGAAGAGGAUCACGCAACGCGAUAUUCUGCGGGGACAUGAACUGGGACGACAAGAUAGACGGGGCCUUCCCUCUCUCGGAGGGCUGGGUUGAUGCCUGGGCUGAGCUGAAGCCGGGUGAAGAUGGCUGGACAUACGACACGGAGGCCAACGCCAUGCUGUCUAAAACGUCCAAGAAACUACAGCUGAGGCUGGAUCGGUUCUUGUGCAAGAUGCCGGAUUUCAAGGUCCAAGGCAUCGAGAUGGUUGGGAGGGAGCCUAUACCCGGCGGCUCAUGCGUGAAGGUGGAUGUAAUCCGCUGGAAGUCUAAGAAGAAAGCCUACUGGAUGCGUCGCGAGCGGACGAAGCCUGUGCUGCCCAGCAACCACUUCGGGCUCGUCUUGACGAUCACCCCUCAGCCUGGAAGAUGUGCUCCGUCAGAGUAA